This 516-nucleotide ribosomal RNA is filed under the name uncultured bacterium. Its description in RNAcentral is "bacterial SSU rRNA". It matches the Rfam family "Bacterial small subunit ribosomal RNA", at positions 993 to 1509 of the family's 1533-position model. The record is from RNAcentral.
GAACUUAGCAGAGAUGCUUUGGUGCCUUCGGGAACUCUGAGACAGGUGCUGCAUGGCUGUCGUCAGCUCGUGUUGUGAAAUGUUGGGUUAAGUCCCGCAACGAGCGCAACCCUUAUCCUUUGUUGCCAGCGGUCCGGCCGGGAACUCAAAGGAGACUGCCAGUGAUAAACUGGAGGAAGGUGGGGAUGACGUCAAGUCAUCAUGGCCCUUACGAGUAGGGCUACACACGUGCUACAAUGGCGCAUACAAAGAGAAGCGACCUCGCGAGAGCAAGCGGACCUCAUAAAGUGCGUCGUAGUCCGGAUUGGAGUCUGCAACUCGACUCCAUGAAGUCGGAAUCGCUAGUAAUCGUAGAUCAGAAUGCUACGGUGAAUACGUUCCCGGGCCUUGUACACACCGCCCGUCACACCAUGGGAGUGGGUUGCAAAAGAAGUAGGUAGCUUAACCUUCGGGAGGGCGCUUACCACUUUGUGAUUCAUGACUGGGGUGAAGUCGUAACAAGGUAGGCGUAGCGAG